UACGUAGGGUGCAAGCGUUGUCCGGAAUUAUUGGGCGUAAAGAGCUCGUAGGCGGCCUGUCGCGUCGGCUGUGAAAACCCGAGGCUCAACCUCGGGCCUGCAGUCGAUACGGGCAGGCUAGAGUUCGGUAGGGGAGACUGGAAUUCCUGGUGUAGCGGUGAAAUGCGCAGAUAUCAGGAGGAACACCGGUGGCGAAGGCGGGUCUCUGGGCCGAAACUGACGCUGAGGAGCGAAAGCGUGGGGAGCAAAACGG
Molecule: ribosomal RNA, 253 nt
Filed under: uncultured bacterium
Lineage: Bacteria
Description: partial 16S ribosomal RNA
Rfam family: Bacterial small subunit ribosomal RNA
Source: RNAcentral